RNAcentral lists this ribosomal RNA (863 nucleotides) under Catathelasma evanescens. Its description in RNAcentral is "partial large subunit ribosomal RNA". The record is from RNAcentral. Lineage: Eukaryota; Fungi; Basidiomycota; Agaricomycetes; Agaricales; Biannulariaceae.
CCUAGUAACUGCGAGUGAAGCGGGAAAAGCUCAAAUUUAAAAUCUGGCGGUCUUUCAGGUCGUCCGAAUUGUAAUCUAGAGAAGUAUUAUCCGCGCUGGCCUGUGUACAAGUCUCCUGGAACGGAGCCUCAUAGAGGGUGAGAAUCCCGUCUUUGACACGGAUCACCAGGGCUUUUGUGAUAUGCUCUCAAAGAGUCGAGUUGUUUGGGAAUGCAGCUCAAAACGGGUGGUAAAUUCCAUCUAAAGCUAAAUAUUGGCGAGAGACCGAUAGCGAACAAGUACCGUGAGGGAAAGAUGAAAAGAACUUUGGAAAGAGAGUUAAACAGUACGUGAAAUUGUUGAAAGGGAAACGCUUGAAGUCAGUCGCGUUGACCAGGAAUCAACCUUGCUUUUGCUCGGUGUACUUUCUGGYYGACGGGUCAGCAUCAAUUUUGACCGGUGGAUAAAGGUCAGAGGAAUGUGGCAUCUUAGGAUGUGUUAUAGUUUCUGGUCGCAUACAUCGGUUGGGAUUGAGGAACUCAGCACGCCGCAAGGCCGGGUUUUUAAUCACGUUCGUGCUUAGGAUGCUGGCAUAAUGGCUUUAAUCGACCCGUCUUGAAACACGGACCAAGGAGUCUAACAUACCUGCGAGUGUUUGGGUGGAAAACCCGAGCGCGUAAUGAAAGUGAAAAGUUGAGAUCCUUGUUAUGGGGGAGCAUCGACGCCCGGACCUGACCUUUUGUGACGGCUCCGCGGUAGAGCAUGUAUGUUGGGACCCGAAAGAUGGUGAACUAUGCCUGAAUAGGGUGAAGCCAGAGGAAACUCUGGUGGAGGCUCGUAGCGAUUCUGACGUGCAAAUCGAUCGUCGAAUUUGGGUAUAGGGG